UACAGAAGAACUGUUCCCCAUCUCCAUCCCAGGAUCAGUGCCUAUGCAAUUAAAACAGUGACAUAAAAGGAGCAUGUGGUGAGAGAAGCUGAGUAACUACUAUGUACAACACCUUGAGCAUCUCAACAGAAACAGAAAAGCACCUCUCAUCUUCACCGUUGCAGCACCUUCCUGGUUCAUUCCUUGCAAGUAUAGGAAUUGUUGGCAGUGUUGACCUUAUGGCCAGUGUUCUCAUUUCCUCAUCCAGGGGUUCAACCAGGAAGGAAAACUCCAUAUCAAUUAAAUAAUAUGAGCAUAUUAGACAGAAGUCUAAUACAUGCACUUAGACAAAUCUCCAGGACCCAAUGGUAAUCUACCAGUUGUACAAUUCAAAACAAGAUUUUAUGCGUAGGUCUUCAUUAAAACGUUUUCAGCAAUCUCUUGAGAUGGGGACAAUACCCACUGUAUGGAAUAUUGUUAAUGUAGUGCAAAUCUAUUAAAAGGGUGACAAAACUAAAUC
Long non-coding RNA from Lepisosteus oculatus (spotted gar), 499 nucleotides. RefSeq lists it as uncharacterized. Lineage: Eukaryota; Metazoa; Chordata; Actinopteri; Semionotiformes; Lepisosteidae. The record is from RefSeq and is a predicted model, not a curated record.